This 227-nucleotide ribosomal RNA is filed under the name uncultured bacterium. RNAcentral describes it as "partial 16S ribosomal RNA". It matches the Rfam family "Bacterial small subunit ribosomal RNA", at positions 568 to 774 of the family's 1533-position model. The record is from RNAcentral.
CGCGUAGGUGGCCACCAUAAGGCCGCGGUGAAAGCUUGGGGCUCAACCCCAGGUCGGCCGCGGCGACUGUGGGGCUCGGGCACCGUAGAGGCAGAUGGAAUUCCGGGUGUAGCGGUGGAAUGCGUAGAGAUCCGGAAGAACACCAGUGGCGAAGGCGGUCUGCUGGGCGGUGGGACUGGAAAGUCCUUCUAGCCGACACUGAGGCGCAACAGCGUGGGGAGCAAACA